Molecule: ribosomal RNA, 402 nt
Filed under: uncultured bacterium
Lineage: Bacteria
Description: bacterial SSU rRNA
Rfam family: Bacterial small subunit ribosomal RNA
Source: RNAcentral
UGGGGAAUCUUGCACAAUGGGGGCAACCCUGAUGCAGCGACGCCGCGUGAGCGAUGAAGCCCUUCGGGGCGUAAAGCUCUUUCGACCGGAACGAUAAUGACGGUACCGGGAGAAGAAGCUGCGGCUAACUACGUGCCAGCAGCCGCGGUAAUACGUAGGCAGCAAGCGUUGUUCGGAGUUACUGGGCGUAAAGAGUGCGUAGGCGGUUGGGUAAGUCAGGGGUGAAAGUCUGCAGCUUAACUGUAGAAUUGCCUUUGAUACUUUUAUUCUUGAGUUCGGGAGAGAGAGACGGAAUUCCAGGUGUAGUGGUGAAAUACGUAGAUAUCUGGAAGAACACCAGUAGCGAAGGCGGUCUCUUGGUCCGACACUGACGCUGAGGCGCGAAAGCGUGGGGAGCAAACA